RNAcentral lists this ribosomal RNA (432 nucleotides) under uncultured bacterium. Its description in RNAcentral is "partial 16S ribosomal RNA". It matches the Rfam family "Bacterial small subunit ribosomal RNA", at positions 29 to 506 of the family's 1533-position model. The record is from RNAcentral.
AACGAACGCUGGCGGCAUGCCUAACACAUGCAAGUCGAACGAGGCCUUCGGGUCUAGUGGCGCACGGGUGCGUAACGCGUGGGAACCUGCCCUUAGGUUCGGAAUAACUCCCCGAAAGGGGUGCUAAUACCGGAUAAUGUCUUCGGACCAAAGAUUUAUCGCCUUUGGAUGGGCCCGCGUUGGAUUAGCUAGUUGGUAGGGUAAAAGCCUACCAAGGCGACGAUCCAUAGCUGGUCUGAGAGGAUGAUCAGCCACACUGGGACUGAGACACGGCCCAGACUCCUACGGGAGGCAGCAGUGGGGAAUAUUGGACACUGGGCGAAAGCCUGAUCCAGCAGUGCCGCGUGAGUGAUGAAGGCCUUAGGGUUGUAAAGCUCUUUUACCCGGGAUGAUAAUGACAGUACCGGGAGAAUAAGCUCCGGCUAACUCCGU